CCUACGGGGGGCUGCAGUGGGGAAUAUUGGACAAUGGGCGAAAGCCUGAUCCAGCCAUGCCGCGUGUGUGAAGAAGGCCUUCGGGUUGUAAAGCACUUUCAGUGGGGAAGAAAGCCUUGGGGCUAAUACCCUCGAGGAAGGACAUCACCCACAGAAGAAGCACCGGCUAACUCCGUGCCAGCAGCCGCGGUAAUACGGAGGGUGCGAGCGUUAAUCGGAAUUACUGGGCGUAAAGCGCGCGUAGGCGGUCUGAUAAGCCGGUUGUGAAAGCCCCGGGCUCAACCUGGGAACGGCAUCCGGAACUGGCAGGCUAGAGUGCAGGAGAGGAAGGUAGAAUUCCCGGUGGAGCGGUGAAAUGCGUAGAGAUCGGGAGGAAUACCAGUGGCGAAGGCGGCCUUCUGGACUGACACUGACGCUGAGGUGCGAAAGCGUGGGUAGCAAACAGGAUUAGAUACCCCGGUAGUC
RNAcentral lists this ribosomal RNA (465 nucleotides) under Vreelandella stevensii. Its description in RNAcentral is "partial 16S ribosomal RNA". It matches the Rfam family "Bacterial small subunit ribosomal RNA", at positions 338 to 795 of the family's 1533-position model. Lineage: Bacteria; Pseudomonadati; Pseudomonadota; Gammaproteobacteria; Oceanospirillales; Halomonadaceae. The record is from RNAcentral.